RNAcentral lists this ribosomal RNA (446 nucleotides) under uncultured Thiobacillus sp. RNAcentral's name for it is "bacterial SSU rRNA". It matches the Rfam family "Bacterial small subunit ribosomal RNA", at positions 929 to 1382 of the family's 1533-position model. Lineage: Bacteria; Pseudomonadati; Pseudomonadota; Betaproteobacteria; Nitrosomonadales; Thiobacillaceae. The record is from RNAcentral.
GCGGUGGAUGAUGUGGUUUAAUUCGAUGCAACGCGAAAACCUUACCACCUUGACAUGGCAGGAAUCCUAAGAGAUUUGGGAGUGCUACGAAAGAGAACCUGCACACAGGUGCUGCAUGGCUGUCGUCAGCUCGUGUCGUGAGAUGUUGGGUUAAGUCCCGCAACGAGCGCAACCCUUGCCAUUAGUUGCUACGAAAGGGCACUCUAAUGGGACUGCCGGUGACAAACCGGAGGAAGGUGGGGAUGACGUCAAGUCCUCAUGGCCCUUAUGGGUAGGGCUUCACACGUCAUACAAUGGUCGGUACAGAGGGUUGUCAAGCCGCGAGGCGGAGCCAAUCCCACAAAGCCGAUCGUAGUCCGGAUUGUUCUCUGCAACUCGAGAGCAUGAAGUCGGAAUCGCUAGUAAUCGCAGGUCAGCCUACUGCGGUGAAUACGUUCCCGGGUCUU